CAAUAGACGUACCCAGGUAGUCCACCCCGUAAACGUUGGGAACUAGUUGUGGGUCCAUUCCACGGAUUCCGUGACGCAGCUAACGCAUUAAGUUCCCCGCCUGGGGAGUACGGCCGCAAGGCUAAAACUCAAAGGAAUUGACGGGGACCCGCACAAGCGGCGGAGCAUGCGGAUUAAUUCGAUGCAACGCGAAGAACCUUACCAAGGCUUGACAUAUAGAGGAAACGGCUGGAAACAGUCGCCCCGCAAGGUCUCUAUACAGGUGGUGCAUGGUUGUCGUCAGCUCGUGUCGUGAGAUGUUGGGUUAAGUCCCGCAACGAGCGCAACCCUCGUUCUAUGUUGCCAGCACGUAAUGGUGGGAACUCAUGGGAUACUGCCGGGGUCAACUCGGAGGAAGGUGGGGAUGACGUCAAAUCAUCAUGCCCCUUAUGUCUUGGGCUUCACGCAUGCUACAAUGGCCGGUACAAAGGGCUGCAAUACCGUAAGGUGGAGCGAAUCCCAAAAAGCCGGUCCCAGUUCGGAUUGAGGUCUGCAACUCGACCUC
RNAcentral lists this ribosomal RNA (544 nucleotides) under uncultured bacterium. RNAcentral describes it as "bacterial SSU rRNA". It matches the Rfam family "Bacterial small subunit ribosomal RNA", at positions 776 to 1319 of the family's 1533-position model. The record is from RNAcentral.